UAAACCAUGCACCGAAGCUGCGGCAGCGACACUAUGUGUUGUUGGGUAGGGGAGCGUUCUGUAAGCCUGCGAAGGUGACCUGUGAGGGUUGCUGGAGGUAUCAGAAGUGCGAAUGCUGACAUAAGUAACGAUAAAGCGGGUGAAAAGCCCGCUCGCCGGAAGACCAAGGGUUCCUGUCCAACGUUAAUCGGGGCAGGGUGAGUCGACCCCUAAGGCGAGGCCGAAAGGCGUAGUCGAUGGGAAACAGGUUAAUAUUCCUGUACUUGGUGUUACUGCGAAGGGGGGACGGAGAAGGCUAUGUUAGCCGGGCGACGGUUGUCCCGGUUUAAGCAUGUAGGCUGGUUGUCCAGGCAAAUCCGGAUAAUCAAGGCUGAGGUGUGAUGACGAGGCACUACGGUGCUGAAGUAACAAAUGCCCUGCUU
RNAcentral lists this ribosomal RNA (422 nucleotides) under Klebsiella pneumoniae. RNAcentral's name for it is "partial 23S ribosomal RNA". It matches the Rfam family "Bacterial large subunit ribosomal RNA", at positions 1183 to 1607 of the family's 2925-position model. Lineage: Bacteria; Pseudomonadati; Pseudomonadota; Gammaproteobacteria; Enterobacterales; Enterobacteriaceae. The record is from RNAcentral.